GGCACUGUCUGGUUCAUUCUCCAGUGUUUCUUUAAUGCCCGGGCACAGACUAGGUGCCAGGAACUAAAGAAGCAUUGGAGAAUGAAAUAGACUUCAUCGUGCC
Molecule: microRNA precursor, 103 nt
Organism: Callithrix jacchus (white-tufted-ear marmoset)
Lineage: Eukaryota; Metazoa; Chordata; Mammalia; Primates; Cebidae
Source: Ensembl